Molecule: ribosomal RNA, 330 nt
Filed under: uncultured eukaryote
Lineage: Eukaryota
Description: partial 18S ribosomal RNA
Rfam family: Eukaryotic small subunit ribosomal RNA
Source: RNAcentral
CCCUUAGAUGUUCUGGGCCGCACGCGCGCUACACUGAUGCAUUCAACGAGUCUAAAACCUGGUCUGAUAGGGCUGGGUAAUCUUUUGAAUGUGCAUCGUGAUUGGGAUAGAUGAUUGCAAUUCUUCAUCUUCAACGAGGAAGGCCUAGUAAACGCAAGUCAUCAGCUUGCAUUGAUUACGUCCCUGCCCUUUGUACACACCGCCCGUCGCUCCUACCGAUUGAAUGUUCCGAUGAAUACCAUGGACUGAGAGUAUGAAUGGGUUCGCCUAUUUCUGCUUCUCGGGAAGUGGAGUAAAUCUUAACAUUUAGAGGAAGGAGAAGUCGUAACA